UACGUAGGGUCCGAGCGUUAAUCGGAAUUACUGGGCGUAAAGCGUGCGCAGGCGGUUUUGUAAGCCAGAUGUGAAAGCCCCGGGCUUAACCUGGGAAUGGCAUUUGGGACUGCAAGGCUGGAGUACGGCAGAGGGAGGUGGAAUUCCAGGUGUAGCAGUGAAAUGCGUAGAUAUCAGGAGGAACACCGAUGGCGAAGGCAGGUCUCUGGGCUGACACUGACGCUCAUGCACGAAAGCGUGGGGAGCAAACAGG
RNAcentral lists this ribosomal RNA (253 nucleotides) under uncultured bacterium. RNAcentral's name for it is "partial 16S ribosomal RNA". It matches the Rfam family "Bacterial small subunit ribosomal RNA", at positions 524 to 776 of the family's 1533-position model. The record is from RNAcentral.